This 93-nucleotide transfer RNA is filed under the name Salmonella sp. FORC89. RNAcentral describes it as "tRNA-Ser". The record is from RNAcentral. Lineage: Bacteria; Pseudomonadati; Pseudomonadota; Gammaproteobacteria; Enterobacterales; Enterobacteriaceae.
UAAAGCCGCAUACCCACAAUCGUGCCGAGCGCCGAGGCAAGAAUGUUGACCAGGUUAUUGCCGAUCAGCACCAGGCUUAUCAGUCGGUCGGGU